This 274-nucleotide ribosomal RNA is filed under the name uncultured bacterium. RNAcentral's name for it is "partial 16S ribosomal RNA". It matches the Rfam family "Bacterial small subunit ribosomal RNA", at positions 523 to 796 of the family's 1533-position model. The record is from RNAcentral.
CUACGGAGGGGGCUAGCGUUGUUCGGAAUUACUGGGCGUAAAGCGCACGUAGGCGGACUGAUCAGUUGGGGGUGAAAUCCCAGGGCUCAACCCUGGAACUGCCUCCAAUACUGUCAGUCUUGAGAUCGGAAGAGGUGAGUGGAAUUCCUAGUGUAGAGGUGAAAUUCGUAGAUAUUAGGAGGAACACCAGUGGCGAAGGCGGCUCACUGGUCCGAUACUGACGCUGAGGUGCGAAAGCGUGGGGAGCAAACAGGAUUAGAAACCCUAGUAGUCC